This 485-nucleotide ribosomal RNA is filed under the name uncultured bacterium. RNAcentral describes it as "bacterial SSU rRNA". It matches the Rfam family "Bacterial small subunit ribosomal RNA", at positions 30 to 508 of the family's 1533-position model. The record is from RNAcentral.
AUUGAACGCUGGCGGCAGGCCUAACACAUGCAAGUCGAGCGGUAGAGAGAAGCUUGCUUCUCUUGAGAGCGGCGGACGGGUGAGUAAUGCCUAGGAAUCUGCCUGGUAGUGGGGGAUAACGUUCGGAAACGGACGCUAAUACCGCAUACGUCCUACGGGAGAAAGCAGGGGACCUUCGGGCCUUGCGCUAUCAGAUGAGCCUAGGUCGGAUUAGCUAGUUGGUGAGGUAAUGGCUCACCAAGGCGACGAUCCGUAACUGGUCUGAGAGGAUGAUCAGUCACACUGGAACUGAGACACGGUCCAGACUCCUACGGGAGGCAGCAGUGGGGAAUAUUGGACAAUGGGCGAAAGCCUGAUCCAGCCAUGCCGCGUGUGUGAAGAAGGUCUUCGGAUUGUAAAGCACUUUAAGUUGGGAGGAAGGGCAUUAACCUAAUACGUUAGUGUUUUGACGUUACCGACAGAAUAAGCACCGGCUAACUCUGUGC